AAGUCCUAACAAGGUUUCCGUAGGUGAACCUGCGGAAGGAUCAUUACCACGUAUCCGGGCUAUGAUUAUUAGAGAUUGCGAACUACGCGGGUUACAAGAGCAGGAUGAAGGUUCACGGGGGGGGUUUUAACGUUUGGAAAGUUGUAGUGAUUCAGAGACCUCUGGCUACGUGCGAACAUUGGAACAGUUACAAUCGAGCGGUAGUUCUAUAGGCAAUGUUUCCCCAAGCAGUCAGUGUCGGAAAGUGUCAUUGAUUGUGCAAGGAUAGCGCUUCUACGAUUCCUGUAGACCGUACACUCGGGCAGGAGCUUUGCCAAAGGGUCCCCAUGCCCCCUAAUAACCCCACAGUUUAAUGUGAAGCUCAAUGUAAUACAUUGGGUAAAAAAACCGAACAACUGUUAACAAUGGAUAUCUUGGUUCUC
This 422-nucleotide unclassified non-coding RNA is filed under the name fungal sp. RNAcentral's name for it is "partial internal transcribed spacer region". The stretch from base 1 to 46 matches the Rfam family "Eukaryotic small subunit ribosomal RNA", at positions 1786 to 1831 of the family's 1831-position model. Lineage: Eukaryota; Fungi. The record is from RNAcentral.